Neogale vison (American mink) is the source of this 3395-nucleotide long non-coding RNA. RefSeq lists it as uncharacterized. The transcript has 3 exons. The record is from RefSeq and is a predicted model, not a curated record. NCBI's taxonomy places the organism in Eukaryota, Metazoa, Chordata, Mammalia, Carnivora, Mustelidae.
UGUCACAGGUGAGGAAAAUCCUCCUCCCCGACCCGGAAGACACUGACUUGCCCAAGGUCUCUCGGUAGAAGACAACUGGGAGCAGAGCCUGGGACAGACCAGGCCAGCCCCUCUCUGCAGAACCUGAGGGCAGUUUUCAGAAAAGAGGGAGUCCUGGGUUUUUAUCCCACCUCUGCUGUGUGACCCUGCAAAGGACCCUGGCCCCUCUCUGGGCCUCAGCCCACGUGCACAGCAAGGGAAAGGCCAUUUCAGUUUUGUCAUUAGAGACCCAACUCAGGCAGGCAGCCCGAGUACCUGAGGACUGAAGACCUGGAAGGAAUGCAGGCCUAUAAGGCAGAGAGGAUACUGAAGGCCUACAGAGGCUUUUAGCCCCAGGACUCUCCUCACCCUCUCUGCUACCAACUUCAAAGGCUAGGUGGAGGGGCAGCCUUCCCAGCUGUCUCUCCUCUGAGCUCCCCCUGCUCAUUCCUUGCCAGCCCCUCCUCCUCCACACCCACCCCUUCCCUGGAAUGCCUUGGCCUUUCACUGGCCCUUCCAGACUUGCUCCUCCAGGAAGCAUUCCUUCCAAGCAAGCUGAGCUGUGCAUGUGCUCCCUGAGGAGAAGCAACUGUGCCCCAGGGGUGUGCUGUCAGAUUGGCUCAUGAAGAAGGGAACACUUACAGGAAGCAGAGGGGCUGGAAGCAGAGCUGAGUCCAUCAUUUCAUAACACCUUCUUCUAGAUUACCUAAACAGCCUUCACAGCUGUCUUCAACGCCGUGAGGUCCCUGCCCCAAGUGGUGUAGACGGUAACAGCCUCCUAGGAUUCAAAUUCAGCUCACUCUUGUGGCCCUGCAUGCCCCACACUUCAAGGGACACUGACCCUCCAUAAUCAGGCCUAGGUGACCAGAGCCCAGAAUGGAAAAAAAGAGGACACAGGGAGGGCUUUAGGGUUAGACACAAGGCUAGAAUCCCCCCGUAAUGGUGGCAGCAGGGCACACACAGCUUGGGUGCAGAUGGUGGGGUUGGAUGCCCUGCAUAACAGGGAUCCCAGAUUCUCAAAAUGUUAUUUUGUUUAAAAAAAAAAAAAAGUCAUGAUCUAGCUGCGCCAGCUGUGUGAUCUCACAAUACUUCAUCUGAGUGUCAAUUUUAUCACCUGUGAAAGAAAGAAACUAUCUCCCAAGGAGCUUGAGAGAAACAAAUAAGACUGCCUGAAAAGUAGAGCACUGUGCCUGACACAUAAGCAAGCAGUACUGGUGGCUAUUGGAAGGACUGGCUUUUCCAGCCAUGAAUCCCAGGAGACUGGAGAAUGGCUCAGCAGACACUAAGCAGCUGGUGACUCCUGGUGGCCAGUGGGAGCCAGGACAAGGGAGUGGGCCUCCGGGGCUGAGGCUGGAAAAUAUUGGACUCCUAGCAUCUUCAGCUGUUAGACUUGCUGAGUUAGCCAUUUAAUAGACAUUUCCCAAGGCUCUCUCUGGCCUGGCCUAAUCCCAGGAAUUACUCUGUUCCCAUCCUGGCCUCUUCUAAGAGCUCCCUGACUGAAAAUGGAGGGAAGGAGACACAAAGAGGAGCAUAAGGAGAGAGGAGGCCCCUAGCCAGCCUGGUAAGUGAGGAAAGGCUCUCAGUGAGAUUAUCCCAAAGGACACAUUUGAAUUGGGGGCUGGGAGGGAAGAACAUUCUGGGCAGAGAGAAAAAUCAAUGUGCAAAGCACAUUCAGAGUAGCAAGGAAAUGAAAAUGCAGCUGAGGUCAGCGGGCUCACUCCUAAGGGGUUUGGAUUUAAUGCCAAGCAGCUUCUCUGCAGGCAGCCUGGGAGCUUGAAAGGGUUGUAUCUGUGACCAGGAUACCCUGGAAAGUCACUCUGGCCACGACAAGGGGCCUGGCUGGAGACACAGCAAGACUAGAGGGGGGCCUGCGUUGCAGCUAGGUUAAAGUUAGACACUCCAGCCCCUGGUGCCGGGGUAUGUGGGGCAGGAGGGGAAGAGACUUCUGUCAGGGGAGAUGAUGUCUGGGAGGCAGGUAGGUAUGUCACCUAGAGCCCAGGGGACAGCUGAGCCAAGAGCAGUGACCGGAGAGUCAGCAGAGUGUAGACUGGGUAUUUAAUCAACACGUUCUCUUUGGCCUGUGCCAAGAGCUUCACAGAUGCUAACACCUGGAGUCCAUACAGUACGUUCUGAGAGACGGCCCCCAGCCACCCAGAGAUGGGCGCGAUCCCCCCUCGCGCUGGCCCGCGCCUACCUGCUUUGCCGCUCCUCCAGCGUCGACUCCAGGGCGCCCAGGGCAGCGCUCUUCUCCACCACCUGCUGGGAAAGCCACAGAUAGGAAGGUCGAGUCCCACUUUUUAGAGCCGAGGGGUCAGUGGAAGAGACAAACUUCAGGCGAAGAAGUUCCUACCAGUGUGACAAGAGGAACAUGAGGAAAUAACCAAGGCUGGGACUCUGGUUGCUAACUUGUUCCUAUGUUCUUCUCACGUGGGCCUGGUGAGGGACGGAUUGAGGAGCAAGGCCAGGGCUGCUCGCCUACACUGACAUACCUCCCUGUGUGAGUGCUCCCACACCUGCCUACCUUCCUAGCUGGCCCAAUCCAUAAUGUUUGUAAUUCCUUUCACCACGGAGCAAUCUGACCUCCACUUCUGCUUCCUGGCCUGCCAUUUCCUUUCAUUGCUAUUUUGUAACACAGUAUUUGGGGGGAGGUUUUUCAAAAUCCAAAUAAUAGAGAUGGAAAACAGAUGAGUGAUUGGUUGCAGGGUUAGGGAUGGUUGGGGGAGGGGAGUGAGCUGCGGCCAAAAAGGGUAGCAAGAGGGAGAUCUUUGUAGUGAUGAAAUCGUGCUGUAUAUUGCUGGGCACACACAUCUACACAGGGGACACCAUGACAAAGAAAUACACGUACAUCUCAUACCAAUAUCAGUUUCCUGAUUGUGUGUACUAUAGUUACAUAAGAAGCAGCCAAUCUUUGCAACUUCCUAUGAUCUAUAACUAUCCCCCCACCAAGUAAGUUAAUGAUAAUGAUAUAUGCUUGUUGCAAUAUCCGAAACAGUACUAAGAAUUAAAGAAAAAGCCACUCCCCAUUCCCUGCACAUCCAAUGGGAACUGACUGGGAGCCAUUGGACCAGGGAGGAAGUGCUAAGGGGGUUCAUUGAGGUGUCCCAGACAAAGGGGAGUAUGAGUUCAGAGACAGGGAGAGUGGCAGGAGGCUGGAGAACUCCACUGGGAAGGCUAAAGGGCUCUGGAAGUUAUAUACGAAGCUGACAAUGGGAGAGACAGUGAGGGGGGUUCCACUUCUUUACUUCAUGGGCUUCUGUUCUCUUGAAAUGUUCACAACCUUGUAUAUCCAUAUUGUCUUUUUUAAGUGUGAUCUUUUUGUUAAUAAAAUAUAUCACUCUGGGGGUACCUGCCUGGCUCAGUUGGUAAAGCAUGGGACG